UACAGAGGGGGCAAGCGUUGUUCGGAAUUACUGGGCGUAAAGGGCGCGUAGGCGGCCUUCUAAGUCGAACGUGAAAUCCCCGGGCUCAACCCGGGAACUGCGUCCGAGACUGAAAGGCUCGAAUCCGGGAGAGGGAUGUGGAAUUCCAGGUGUAGCGGUGAAAUGCGUAGAUAUCUGGAGGAACAUCGGUGGCGAGGCGGCAUCCUGGACCGGUAUUGACGCUGAGGCGCGAAAGCCAGGGGAGCAAACGGG
Molecule: ribosomal RNA, 252 nt
Filed under: uncultured bacterium
Lineage: Bacteria
Description: partial 16S ribosomal RNA
Rfam family: Bacterial small subunit ribosomal RNA
Source: RNAcentral